Molecule: long non-coding RNA, 562 nt
Organism: Callorhinus ursinus (northern fur seal)
Lineage: Eukaryota; Metazoa; Chordata; Mammalia; Carnivora; Otariidae
Source: RefSeq, a predicted model, not a curated record
AAGCAAAAGAAGAAAAUAGGAUCAAUAAAUGGAAAUAUCAAGAAGAAUUGUCUGAUAUAAAUGCAGACCUUGGGCUUGCUAAAAAUCAGCAUUUAUCUCUCAGGAGUUGUGUUGGGAGCUAUAAAUAUGGACUUACAAGGUAUGGUGCCAUUCCUCAAAGGACAUGAAUAUUUCUCUCCUAUUUAUGAUAUUUGCUAUCCUGUGUUUGUGACGUCAACUUUUUAACCAGGACUAUUAGACUUUAUACUUAUCUUCUAGAAUUACUUUUUACUGAAUUUGAUCCAUUGUUCCAACAUUUAUAAUGAAAAAAAAACCUGAUUUUUCAGUCAUGAUUAUGUUAUUCAAUACUUAACUAUUUCUCCAAAUUAAAACACAUCUUUUCUAUAUCCAUAUCCAUUUUUUAACUCAAAAUUGUGAAUAAGGCUCAUAACACAUUCAAAAAUGAGCCAUGUAAUUGUCAUGGUUUGAGAAUAAUUGUUCAACUAACACAUAUCCACAUAAUUUAUAAACAUCGUCUCCACAUAUAUCUUGUCCAAAAAGACAUCAACAGAAUACCCAUUAA